Molecule: ribosomal RNA, 564 nt
Filed under: Triticum aestivum (bread wheat)
Lineage: Eukaryota; Viridiplantae; Streptophyta; Magnoliopsida; Poales; Poaceae
Description: partial small subunit ribosomal RNA
Source: RNAcentral
AUGGCGAGGAAUCCGGGCUGCGCCGUCUACAUAGGUAACUUGGAUGAAAAGGUCUCGGAGAGGGUUUUGUAUGAGAUUCUUAUUCAGGUAGGUCGUGUAGUAGACUUGCACAUACCCCGUGACAAGGAAACUAGUCGACCCAAAGGUUUUGCUUUUGCUGAGUAUGAAACAGAGGAGAUUGCCCAGUAUGCUGUUAGGCUGUUUUCUGGCCUUGUUCGGCUUCACAAUAGAACACUUAAAUUUGCGAUCUCUGGGCAAGACAAGGCCUCUUCAAAUGUCAAUGUUCCUGUAACACCUAAAAUGAACCCACUACCAAAUCCACCUCAACCAAUGAGAUUUGGUGAUACUCCUGUGUCACAACAUAGAGUGGUAAAUGGUAGGAUUGCAGGCUAUGGUGUUUCUCCAAAUCAUUCUUAUGAUUUCCAUUCCCAAGCAUCAAGUGGGGUAGCAAGUAGAGGAUUAAGUGAUGGUACAUAUGAUUAUAGUAGACGUGUAUUUGGUUCUGUUCUGAAUGAUGUUAGCCGUCGAGCUGACAGACAACCAGUUCCAUACCCGUCCUACUAG